RNAcentral lists this small RNA (73 nucleotides) under Arabidopsis thaliana (thale cress). RNAcentral describes it as "ATSL082800". Lineage: Eukaryota; Viridiplantae; Streptophyta; Magnoliopsida; Brassicales; Brassicaceae. The record is from RNAcentral.
AUGGGAAAUAGUGUAAGAAGCAAUCUAAGAGACAUCAGAGGACGACGAUCGAUGGAUCCUCGGAUGUGGCACA